AUGAACGCUGGCGGCGUGCCUAAUACAUGCAAGUCGAGCGAACAGAUGAGGAGCUUGCUCCUCUGACGUUAGCGGCGGACGGGUGAGUAACACGUGGAUAACCUACCUAUAAGACUGCGAUAACUUCGGGAAACCGGAGCUAAUACCGGAUAAUAUAUUGAACCGCAUGGUUCAAUAGUGAAAGACGGUUUUGCUGUCACUUAUAGAUGGAUCCGCGCCGCAUUAGCUAGUUGGUAAGGUAACGGCUUACCAAGGCAACGAUGCGUAGCCGACCUGAGAGGGUGAUCGGCCACACUGGAACUGAGACACGGUCCAGACUCCUACGGGAGGCAGCAGUAGGGAAUCUUCCGCAAUGGGCGAAAGCCUGACGGAGCAACGCCGCGUGAGUGAUGAAGGUCUUCGGAUCGUAAAACUCUGUUAUUAGGGAAGAACAAAUGUGUAAGUAACUAUGCACGUCUUGACGGUACCUAAUCAGAAAGCCACGGCUAACUACGUG
Molecule: ribosomal RNA, 496 nt
Filed under: uncultured bacterium
Lineage: Bacteria
Description: partial 16S ribosomal RNA
Rfam family: Bacterial small subunit ribosomal RNA
Source: RNAcentral